This 492-nucleotide ribosomal RNA is filed under the name uncultured bacterium. RNAcentral describes it as "partial 16S ribosomal RNA". It matches the Rfam family "Bacterial small subunit ribosomal RNA", at positions 29 to 507 of the family's 1533-position model. The record is from RNAcentral.
AGUGAACGCUGGCGGUAGGCCUAACACAUGCAAGUCGAACGGCAGCACAGUAAGAGCUUGCUCUUACGGGUGGCGAGUGGCGGACGGGUGAGGAAUACAUCGGAAUCUACUUUUUCGUGGGGGAUAACGUAGGGAAACUUACGCUAAUACCGCAUACGACCUACGGGUGAAAGCAGGGGAUCUUCGGACCUUGCGCGAUUGAAUGAGCCGAUGUCGGAUUAGCUAGUUGGCGGGGUAAAGGCCCACCAAGGCGACGAUCCGUAGCUGGCCUGAGAGGAUGAUCAGCCACACUGGAACUGAGACACGGUCCAGACUCCUACGGGAGGCAGCAGUGGGGAAUAUUGGACAAUGGGCGCAAGCCUGAUCCAGCCAUACCGCGUGGGUGAAGAAGGCCUUCGGGUUGUAAAGCCCUUUUGUUAGGAAAGAAAAGCAGCAGGUUAAUACCCCGCUGUUCUGACGGUACCCAAAGAAUAAGCACCGGCUAACUUCGUG